Molecule: small nuclear RNA, 97 nt
Filed under: Meriones unguiculatus (Mongolian gerbil)
Lineage: Eukaryota; Metazoa; Chordata; Mammalia; Rodentia; Muridae
Source: RNAcentral
UCACUUUGGCAGUGUACAGAAAUAGGGACGAUACAGAGACAGUAGCAUGAGCCUGAACAAGGAAGACACACAAAUUUGUGGAACGUUCCAUAUUACU